UCACGGGAGACACACGGCGGGUGCUAACGUCCGUCGUGAAGAGGGAAACAACCCAGACCGCCAGCUAAGGUCCCAAAGUCAUGGUUAAGUGGGAAACGAUGUGGGAAGGCCCAGACAGCCAGGAUGUUGGCUUAGAAGCAGCCAUCAUUUAAAGAAAGCGUAAUAGCUCACUGGUCGAGUCGGCCUGCGCGGAAGAUGUAACGGGGCUAAACCAUGCACCGAAGCUGCGGCAGCGACACUGUGUGUUGUUGGGUAGGGGAGCGUUCUGUAAGCCUGUGAAGGUGUGUCGUGAGGCAUGCUGGAGGUAUCAGAAGUGCGAAUGCUGACAUAAGUAACGAUAAAGCGGGUGAAAAGCCCGCUCGCCGGAAGACCAAGGGUUCCUGUCCAACGUUAAUCGGGGCAGGGUGAGUCGACCCCUAAGGCGAGGCCGAAAGGCGUAGUCGAUGGGAAACGGGUUAAUAUUCCCGUACUUGGUGUUACUGCGAAGGGGGGACGGAGAAGGCUAUGUUGGCCGGGCGACGGUUGUCCCGGUUUAAGCGUGUAGGUGUGUGUUCCAGGUAAAUCCGGUUCACUUUAACACUGAGGCGUGACGACGAGGCACUACGGUGCUGAAGCAACAAAUGCCCUGCUUCCAGGAAAA
RNAcentral lists this ribosomal RNA (640 nucleotides) under Salmonella enterica. RNAcentral describes it as "partial 23S ribosomal RNA". It matches the Rfam family "Bacterial large subunit ribosomal RNA", at positions 975 to 1616 of the family's 2925-position model. Lineage: Bacteria; Pseudomonadati; Pseudomonadota; Gammaproteobacteria; Enterobacterales; Enterobacteriaceae. The record is from RNAcentral.